This is a long non-coding RNA of Stegastes partitus (bicolor damselfish), 161 nucleotides long. RefSeq lists it as uncharacterized. The transcript has 4 exons. NCBI's taxonomy places the organism in Eukaryota, Metazoa, Chordata, Actinopteri, Pomacentridae. The record is from RefSeq and is a predicted model, not a curated record.
GUGGGGAUCAGGAGAACCAGAGCAAAGCUCAGAGGAACCGACCUGGAGCUGGACCUGAACCUGAACCCAGCUGUGUUUCCUUUAAGAGCGACCAGUCAAAGGGUCGCCUAGCUGAUUUCAAAGGACAUCAACCUCCUGCUGUGAAGAAAAUCCAACAGGGA